RNA transcript from Leptopilina heterotoma, 1432 nucleotides. It is a transcript of the gene named probable deoxyhypusine synthase, with no coding region annotated. NCBI's taxonomy places the organism in Eukaryota, Metazoa, Arthropoda, Insecta, Hymenoptera, Figitidae. The transcript has 8 exons. The record is from RefSeq and is a predicted model, not a curated record.
CUGUAAUCUUCAUGCCUGUAAUACAUAGAAUAGUUCUUUUCAUGAGUCGAUUUUGUUCAUGCUUGUAUAUCAAGAUGCACAUGUGCGAUUGUGGUGCGAUUAAUCCGGCUGUCAGUCUAAAUUAAAUAUUUUACAUCAUUCUCUGUUUAAAAGUAGGUAUCGAAUACUUUAUAAAGAUAAUUAUGGACAGUGAAAUUACAAAAUCUCAUUCAAUAGAAGAUGUACAAAAGAGUAAGGACGAUGUGCUUGAUAAAGUAUCUGAGGAAUUAAAAAAGGCCGUUUUGUUAAAAAGUGCUCCACUCCCUUCUGCCACACCGGUAGUAAAAGGAUUUGAUUGGAAUUCUGGUGUUGACUACGAUGCUCUUCUCAAAAGUUAUGCACUAUCAGGAUUUCAAGCAACUAAUUUUGGUUUAGCUGUAGAAGAAAUUCAGAAGAUGUUAACCGCACGUAGUGUGGGUUUGAAUAAAGAACAGAUAGAUUCAUUUGAAGAUGAUGAGUUUAUUAAAAGAAAAAAUUCUUGUACUAUUUUCUUGGGAUACACAUCAAACAUGGCGUCAUGUGGAAUUCGGGACACGAUACGUUUUCUAGUUCAACAUAAACUAGUUGAUUGUAUUGUAACAACUGCCGGUGGUGUUGAAGAAGACCUAAUCAAAUGCUUAGCACCAACGUACAUAGGAGACUUCACAUUAGAUGGAAAAUUACUCAGAGAUAAAGGAAUUAAUCGAAUUGGAAAUUUAUUAGUUCCUAAUAAUAAUUAUUGUCUUUUUGAGGAUUGGGUUAUGCCUAAAUUUGACGAAAUGUUAAAGGAGCAAAAUGAAAAGGGAAUGUUAUGGACCCCAUCUAAAAUCAUAGAAAAAUUGGGUAAAGACAUAAACAAUACAAAUUCAAUUUGUUACUGGGCUGCUAAAAAUAAAAUUCCAAUAUUCAGUCCAGCCUUAACUGACGGUAGUCUUGGAGACAUGAUGUAUUUUCAUUCGUUUCGAAAUCCUGGAUUAGUAGUCGACAUUUUAUCAGAUUUACGACGGUUAAAUACUAUGUCUGUAAAAGCUGUCAGUACUGGAAUUAUUAUCAUUGGAGGUGGUGUUGUGAAACAUCAUAUUUGUAACGCAAAUCUAAUGAUGUUUUUAGAGGAAUGGGGCUGAUUAUUCUGUUUUUAUCAAUACAUCUUCUGAAUUCGAUGGCAGUGACAGUGGUGCUCGUCCUGAUGAAGCAAUAUCAUGGGGGAAAAUUCGCAAAGAAGCUUCUCCAGUAAAAAUAUACGCUGAAGCAACCUUAGUUUUUCCUCUUCUUGUGGGUGAGACUUUCGCUAAACAUUAUCACUCUUCUAAAGUGAAAACCGUGUCAGAUGUUUAAAAUAAUUUUAAUUAUUUUUUAUAACUAUUUUUUAAUUGUAAUAUAAGUUUUUUAUUAAAUAUAUGAUAUUAAAAUGGUA